UGGGGAAUAUUGCACAAUGGGCGCAAGCCUGAUGCAGCCAUGCCGCGUGUAUGAAGAAGGCCUUCGGGUUGUAAAGUACUUUCAGCGAGGAGGAAGGCGUUGUGGUUAAUAACCGCAACGAUUGACGUUACUCGCAGAAGAAGCACCGGCUAACUCCGUGCCAGCAGCCGCGGUAAUACGGAGGGUGCAAGCGUUAAUCGGAAUUACUGGGCGUAAAGCGCACGCAGGCGGUCUGCCAAGUCGGAUGUGAAAUCCCCGGGCUCAACCUGGGAACUGCAUCCGAAACUGGCAGGCUAGAGUCUUGUAGAGGGGGGUAGAAUUCCAGGUGUAGCGGUGAAAUGCGUAGAGAUCUGGAGGAAUACCGGUGGCGAAGGCGGCCCCCUGGACAAAGACUGACGCUCAGGUGCGAAAGCGUGGGGAGCAAACA
RNAcentral lists this ribosomal RNA (427 nucleotides) under uncultured bacterium. Its description in RNAcentral is "partial 16S ribosomal RNA". It matches the Rfam family "Bacterial small subunit ribosomal RNA", at positions 355 to 774 of the family's 1533-position model. The record is from RNAcentral.